Molecule: long non-coding RNA, 604 nt
Organism: Panicum virgatum (switchgrass)
Lineage: Eukaryota; Viridiplantae; Streptophyta; Magnoliopsida; Poales; Poaceae
Exons: 2
Source: RefSeq, a predicted model, not a curated record
UCGCCGCAUUCCAUCCAGUCUAGCUUUGCUUGUUCUAUAAAUAAAUUCAGAAUAGUCCUCUACUCCUCUCAUCGGCUGCUGCGCUUUGCGGUCAGUGUUCUUCGCCUUCACAACCUCUCUCUCUGUUUCUUCCGGGGCUCCACCGCUCCCCGGCACCGGCAGGCGCAAGAAACCAGUAGUGGCCAUGGAUCCCCCGUCCGCUCAGGUGAUGUCGGCGACCGACGACUUCCAGGACAAGACCAUCGACGAGUGCUGCUCGUGCUGCUACGACUGCUGCUCCAGCAUCCUCGACUUCCUGUGCUGCUCGUCCUGAUCGGCCGGUGCGGCCUCCUCCCCGGCCCUGAGGAACUUCUCGAGGAAGCAGAGGCUCGGCCUCGGAGUGCUCGCUAGUCUUGGGUUCUAGAUGUCCUGGAGUUCUUAGAUUCUUUAGGUCCUGCGGUGAUGAUACAUGUAAGCUCGACUCUGUUCAUUGAUGAUACUUGUAAGCUCGACUCUGUUCAUCAAUCGUCAGUAAGGAAGCCUGGAUCGAUUUCCUUUCUAGAAAUUUUACUGUGCGUGUUUGCAGAUAGAUUAGCUAUUUGGAAUGGCUGUUUAUCUGGAGAAA